CAGUCGAACGGAGAUACCCGCUGAUGAAGUACUUCGGUAAUGAUUCUUGGAUAUCUUAGUGGCGGACGGGUGAGUAACGCGUGAGCAACCUGCCUUUCGGAGGGGGAUAACGUUUGGAAACGAACGCUAAUACCGCAUGAUAUUAUUGAGCUGCAUGGCUUGAUAAUCAAAGGAGUAAUCCGCUGAAAGAUGGGCUCGCGUCCGAUUAGGUAGUUGGCGGGGCAACGGCCCACCAAGCCGACGAUCGGUAGCCGGACUGAGAGGUUGAACGGCCACAUUGGGACUGAGACACGGCCCAGACUCCUACGGGAGGCAGCAGUGAGGGAUAUUGGUCAAUGGGGGAAACCCUGAACCAGCAACGCCGCGUGAGGGAAGACGGUUUUCGGAUUGUAAACCUCUGUCCUCUGUGAAGAUAAUGACGGUAGCAGAGGAGGAAGCUCCGGCUAACUACGUGCCAGCAGCCGCGGUAAUGCGUAGGGAGCAAGCGUUGUCCGGAUUUACUGGGUGUAAAGGGUGCGUAGGCGGCUUUGCAAGUCAGAAGUGAAAUCCAUGGGCUUAACCCAUGAACUGCUUUUGAAACUGCAGAGCUUGAGUGGAGUAGAGGUAGGCGGAAUUCCCGGUGUAGCGGUGAAAUGCGUAGAGAUCGGGAGGAACACCAGUGGCGAAGGCGGCCUGCUGGGCUCUAACUGACGCUGAGGCACGAAAGCGUGGGUAGCAAACAGGAUUA
This 727-nucleotide ribosomal RNA is filed under the name uncultured bacterium. Its description in RNAcentral is "bacterial SSU rRNA". It matches the Rfam family "Bacterial small subunit ribosomal RNA", at positions 59 to 780 of the family's 1533-position model. The record is from RNAcentral.